GACGAACGCUGGCGGCGUGCUUAACACAUGCAAGUCGAACGGUGAAGCGCCUUCCUUUUUGGUGGGUGUGGAUGAGUGGCGAACGGGUGAGUAACACGUGAGUAACCUGCCCCCUUCUUCUGGAUAACCGCAUGAAAGUGUGGCUAAUACGGGAUAUUCUGGGUCUGUCGCAUGAUGGGUCUGGGAAAGAUAUUGUUUCGGUGGGGGAUGGGCUCGCGGCCUAUCAGCUUGUUGGUGGGGUGGUGGCCUACCAAGGCGGUGACGGGUAGCCGGCCUGAGAGGAUGGACGGUCACACUGGGACGGGGACGCGGCCCAGACUCCGACGGGAGGCAGCAGGGGGGAAUAUUGCACAAUGGGCGCAAGCCUGAUGCAGCGACGCCGCGUGAGGGAUGGAGGCCUUCGGGUUGUGAACCUCUUUCGCCAGUGAAGCAGGCCUGCCUCGUUUGUGGGUGGGUUGACGGUAGCUGGAGAAGAAGCGCCGGCUAACUACGUG
Molecule: ribosomal RNA, 494 nt
Filed under: uncultured bacterium
Lineage: Bacteria
Description: partial 16S ribosomal RNA
Rfam family: Bacterial small subunit ribosomal RNA
Source: RNAcentral